UGCGGGCGGCGGGCGAUGGCGGCGGCACGACUGCGGGUGGCCCUCUGGGUGCUGUGGCAUUUUGGAGUGGGCGGUCGCGGGUUGGAGCUGGCGGGACUGGAGGGCCCGCGGGGGCGCGCGGCGCGGUGCCAGCCUGUGGACAUCCCGAUGUGCCGGGGGAUCGGGUACAACCUGACCCGCAUGCCCAACCUGCUGGGGCACGAGAGCCAGCGGGAGGCCGCCCUGAAGCUGCACGAGUUCGCCCCGCUGGUGGAGUACGGCUGCCACGUUCACCUGCGCUUCUUCCUCUGCUCCCUCUACGCACCCAUGUGCACCGAUCAGGUGAGCGCCAGCAUCCCUGCCUGCCGCCCCAUGUGUGAGCAGGCCCGCCACAAGUGUGUCCCCAUAAUGGAACAGUUCAAUUUCGGCUGGCCUGAGUCACUUGACUGUGGCAGGUUGCCCACCAAGAAUGACCCCAAUGCCCUCUGCAUGGAGGCCCCUGAAAAUGCCUCAGCUGCUGAGCCGCACAAGGGACAGGGGAUGCUGCCUGUGGCCCCCCGGCCCUGGCCACCUGGUACUGCUACCGAGGGACGGGGAGCCAAUGGGCUGGGAGCUUGCGACAAUCCUGAGAAGUUCCAGUACGUGGAGAAGAGCCUCUCCUGCGCACCCAGGUGCUCCCCCGGGGUGGACGUGUAUUGGUCUCGGGAGGACAAGGACUUCGCCUUCAUUUGGAUGGCUGUCUGGUCCACCCUCUGCUUUGUCUCCACUGCCUUCACCGUCCUUACUUUUCUGCUUGACCCCCACCGCUUCCAGUAUCCUGAGAGGCCCAUUAUUUUCCUCUCCAUGUGCUACAACGUCUACUCUGUGGCCUUCAUCAUCCGCUCUGUGGCUGGGGCUGAGAACAUUGCCUGUGACCGGGAGAACGGUGAGCUCUACAUCAUACAGGAGGGGCUGGAGAGCACAGGCUGCACCAUUGUCUUCCUCAUCCUCUACUAUUUCGGCAUGGCUAGCUCUCUCUGGUGGGUUGUGCUCACUCUCACCUGGUUCCUGGCUGCUGGGAAGAAGUGGGGACAUGAGGCCAUCGAGGCCCACAGCAGCUACUUCCACAUGGCCGCCUGGGGCAUCCCAGCCAUGAAGACCAUUGUCAUCCUCACCAUGCGGAAGGUGGCAGGGGAUGAGCUCACGGGGCUGUGCUAUGUGGGGAGCAUGGACAUCAGUGCCCUGACUGGCUUUGUCCUCAUCCCCCUCUCCUGCUACCUGGUCAUUGGCACCUCCUUCAUCCUCACUGGCUUCGUUGCCCUAUUCCACAUCCGGAAGAUCAUGAAGACGGGUGGCACCAACACAGAGAAGCUGGAGAAGCUGAUGGUGAAGAUUGGGGUCUUCUCCAUCCUCUACACCGUCCCGGCCACCUGUGUCAUUGUCUGCUACUUCUACGAGCGGCUGAAUGUGGAUUACUGGAUGCUGCGGGCACUGGAGCAUGGCUGCCUACGCCUGCCUGGCCGCCGUGCCACCGACUGCUCCCUUGAGGCCUCGGUGCCCACUGUGGCUGUCUUCAUGCUAAAGAUUUUCAUGUCACUGGUGGUGGGCAUCACCAGCGGGGUGUGGGUGUGGAGCUCUAAAACGCUGCAGACCUGGCAGAGCCUGUGCAACAGGCGGCUGGGCAUGAGGACGCGGAGCAAGCCCUGCAGUGGGGUCAGCUGUGGUGGGGGACACUGCCAUUACAAAGCCCCUACAGUCAUGCUGCACAUGACCAAGACGGACCCGUACCUGGACAACCCGACUCACGUCUAGAGACGGGGGCUGCCCCCCACACUGGAAGAAGUGGCCUCACGGAAAACCAUGGAGACUCUUCAUGUGAUGAGAUGUGGACUCAACUCAAACUUCAGAGGUCAUUACAGAAAAUAUGACUAAUUCCCUACCUUCUAUAAGAGGACUGCUCAUCAGAAGAGGGAAGACAGGAAAGAGGAGAAUCAACCUCAUUUGGAAACAACUGCAAAGGACCACUCUGUGAUCCUUACCAGAAGAUUCCAGAUCUAAUCUUUCUUCUUGGGCACGAGCUCAGAUGAGUCAAGCAACAACUAGACAAAGAUAUCACUGUGGCUCUUCUUGGAAUACCAGUCUCCACAACGCUUAUUUUUCUGGCAGAAAUACUUACUAAACACCAUAUCGGAAAGUAUUUCAUAAUUCUAUGUAUGGUCCUACUAGGGUAAUAGCCUCACAAUCUGCAUUCAGCUAGGAAAUUCAUUACUCUAAUAGAACAUAGGACUGAUUGCUCAACAAUGGAAGCCAGAUGUCUUCAAGCCAGUCAUCUUAAGUACACCUGACCCCGUGGAGCAUCCUCACUCUGUACUCUGAGAUUAAAACCUUUGGGCACCAUACUCUCUGCACCUCUCCCUGAAGAAUAGGACAGAGCAGCUUCAGAUAUCCUUCACCUACUAGAAUCUGUCACCGCUGGGGAAUGGCAUAAUCCAGACACCAAACCAUCUGCUCUACAGAUACUCUGCACAGAAAUAUUUCCCAGACACCUUGAGAUGGGUUGCCCAGGUCAGGAUAAAACAACAUCUGACAUUGCUGGUGAUACACCAUGGAAUCCAGCUAGACAAAUAUUCAAGAUGAUAAUGCCUGGGCUAUCCCUGUUUUCUCCCAUGGAGACAAAGGGGGCACUCACUGCACUGUUCUGUCAACUGUAAAAAAGAAAGGGCUCUGGAAACAGUCAUCAUGUAGGGUUUCUACUCUCCAGUAUUUUGGGGAAAGACAAAACAGGCUGCUAGGCAGCUGCAGAAAACAGCUCCCACCCUUUUAAGAAAGCCAGAGUUAAGCCCUGGUACAACUUUGUUCCUGAUGAAAAGGAUAUGGGACAGGGAAGGAAGAACAUCAACAGGUACUUAAUCUUCCCAGUUCACCUUGAGAGUAAGAACUGGGAUUUCUGGGACAGGGAACUGAUCUAAUUAAGCCUGAACUGAAGCCUGAACCUAAGCCUGAUCUGCAAAAUACAAACAUAUUGGAGACAUCAUGUUAAUUUGAUUACUGACCCCUUUCUGCUCUGUGCAGCCACAGCUCCUGCUUCCCAAACUAGCUCCAGGCAUGCCCUACUUGUAGGAAUUACCUGCACAUCCAGCUGGAGCUCAACCACUUCCAAGCUGGGAGCACUGACAUGGUUGAAUGAUGGCUCCACUGGCUCUUGGACUGGCUACCCUGUCAGCAGGGCAGUGAUAAUAUCAGCAACAGAGGUCUGCGGAGCUGCUGAACCAACCCAACUGCUCAGCACUGACAAAGGAACAGGCCUUCGAUUGUUAAGUUUCCAAAGGAAUGUGCUGAAAUCCUGCCCACUGGCUGCAGCAGCGGCUGAGAGAUGAAAACAGCUGGAAGCAAAGAGUUGAUCAGGAACACAGCUGGUCAGCAUUUGAAACAGCUCUUGUAACAUGGAGGAGCUUGGAAUGAUACACCUCUAGCUCAGUCAGUCUCAAAGACACAGGUGCCUGUAAAAUUACACCUGGAUGAAGGAUCUCACUGUAUGUUUGCCCUGUUCUAUUCCUCUACAGGUAUCUAGUCUGCCCCUUGUCUAAGACAAUCCUACCAGGUGAGGGCUUGGAUCUAACUCCAUAAGCUCCCCUAUGCAGGAUUGCUGUGGAUGGACUCAGUGCCAGAACAUGAUGUUCCAAAAGCAAGAAAUGAUCACGACUGAAACUCAGUUGAGUCAGAUUAUUGCAGCAUCUUCCAUCUCAAGAACUACUUGCACACAGAAAUGUUAAGUUUCCUUCUGUACAGAUAGAUUUCUGUGCCUGUUCAAGCUUGCGAGGCUCCAGGACCCAGGCUCCAAGUCAGCCAGGCAAAACCACAGAGGAAGCACUAGAAGUUCAGCCAGUCCCUUCCACCUCACCUGCACAUUCAGCAAAGGUGAAUAGAAGGUUGAUAGGAAGUGCAUGAGGGAUGUUCACCAAAACAAUCUCAAUCAGCAAAGCUAUGCAUAUCUAACAGACUGCCCUGCUUGUUACUAUUCCAUAGGCUGAUCUAGGAGUCUUGGCACCAGCGGAAUAUCAGCACUGUGACAGACCUCCUCACUCUGCAGCACAACUAGCUAAUUGUGCAAGGGGUCUGGCACACUGCAACUCAGCAGGGUCAGAGUGAACCAGAGGGAUGAUACCAACUGACAUCAACCUUGCUACUUGAAGGACAGGACUGUCCUUAGGUGGAGGCAAGUCUCCAGACCUGCAGCAGCAGAAUGGAACUAUCACCAGCACCUCCUCUGUGCAGGCUUCUAGAGUUUAAAGGAGGGUUAAAUCAGAGCAUACCCAUGAAAACAGUCGGUCUAGACAGUUCUUUCACACUCAUGACUCCAUUUGAAUAGUCAGAGCAGAGGAAAUACCCUCAAGAGACCAUACCUCCAGGGCUGUAGUCCUUCUUUGAAUCUUCCUUUUUCUGAUGGGGAAGGGUAAAUCUGUAGUCUAUACUCUCAUGUACCCAGCCUUUCUCAAUAAACAAGCCAGGAACUUCAUCUGAAAA
This is an RNA transcript of Melospiza melodia melodia, 4482 nucleotides long. It is a transcript of the gene named frizzled class receptor 9, with no coding region annotated. The record is from RefSeq and is a predicted model, not a curated record. NCBI's taxonomy places the organism in Eukaryota, Metazoa, Chordata, Aves, Passeriformes, Passerellidae. The transcript has 4 exons.